AUUACACUAGGUGAAGUGAGAGUUAGUAAUUCUAAUAUCAAUCAAUCCACGGUUAUCUAAAAUGUUUUGAAAAUCCAAACUUUUAGCCAUUUUGUGAGGUUUGGCCCCCAGUUUCUCUGCGGGAUCCAAAAUCAGAUUGAAGUCUCCACCAAUGCACCAGGAUCCAGUAACCUUCUGUUUAUCUUUUUCAUGACUUUCCCGAAGACCCCUUGUUUCGGUAGUAGUACACUUAGCAUACAUAACAGAGAAAAAGUAUCUAGGUUCAUUGAUGCAUACUUCAUAUUAAUUGUAAUGUGUUGAUCAUCUUCUGAGAUUAGAUCAACUUGAGUGAUAUUGCUUCAGAAACACCAAAAUUUCCCAUUGGAGUUCUCAAGGCAAUUCUGAUAUCCUAGAAACUUUCUAUAUCCAUAGUUUUACCUCUAGCCACAAAAGGUUCAAAGAUGGCUGCAAGCUAAAAUUUAUUGAUGUGAACAAGUUUUCUUAAUCUGUGAAUGGAUUUCUUAGACCUAACACCCCUUAUAUUCCAAAAAAUAGCACUAAUCAUUGAUAAUACUAUGGGUGUUACCUUUUUGUGUUUCCUCUUUGGAAAGUGCUGAUAAUGAUUUUUUUAUCUUUUAUUUAUUUUCCAUUUUUCCUUAUUUUACUUCUCCCUAUUACUGGUGGAUGGUUCAUCCAAGUCUGAUUUCCCCAAACGGGUCAUUCAGACUCUUAGUGAUGUAUUACCAGAGACGGAUCCAGAAUUUUAAACUUGUGGGUUCCUUUCCUGCCACUAAGUUAUCCCUUGGUUUAGUUAUGGAUCUCAUCUAUUAAUCUUUAUAACUUUUGGUGAUUUUUCUAUGUAAUUUUAAGCCUUACUGUAGCAGAUAUGGUUCUCUACCUUCGCCAAUGUGUAUAACCUUCCUUCUGUCUAUAGAUUGCUCAAAUAAUUAUGUACUCUCAGACUGAACUUUUGCUUUCUUUUCUGAUCUUUUGUUUUCUUGUACUCCGCCAACAUCCUUCUCAAUCUACAUUACAUUUCCCAAGUCAACAAUCAAAUUUAAACUUGGCAAUUAUUUUAUCUCAGUUGGGACAUUUGAAGAUUCAGAAUCAUUGUCUUGUAAACUAGCAAUAUAAUCUUGGUGGUAAUUAUCUUUGAUGUUCUGCUCUUCGCUAUCAAAAACAUUGUUCAUGGUACAGAUCUCCCUGUUGUGGUUUAUUUGUUGUUCCUUAGUACAAGUAGUAGAUUGUUCUUCCUCAAUGAUAACUUCGCCACCUGUGUGCUUGUCUUUAUAUCUUUAUCUUCAAUUGCCCGCUCUCUCUUUAUUUUCAAUAACAACAAUCUCAUUUUUGUUGUCACUAAUCUUUCAUUUUUCUGUUUUUUCCUUGUCUUGGCUAGCUUCCUGAUGAUUUACCUUUCUGAUUGUUAUUGUCAUCUAUAUUUGCUUUGUUUUGUUCAUGCUGUCCAGUAGUGGAUGUACAAAUAUUGUCUUUCCCAGGUUUGAUAGGAUUGUAUAUGAGUUAUGACCUUACUUUUCUUUCGAGGCAUCUUCUUUUUCUUUUUCUUUUUUUCUUUGACUAGCCUUUGACAUCUUUGCCAGCUUUGAAGGUGAAAUUUUUUAUCUACUUGAUAUUAUAGUUGUCAGCCUGCUCUUUGUUGGUUUUCUGCCCUUCUGUGAUGUUGUCCCUACCAAUUUCAUUUUCUUCAUUCAUCACCAUCUUGAUUCCCUUUCUCUUUCUUAUUUUCUUUAUUACUUGUUUCUGCUGCCUUUUCAAUUUUCCUGCAUUAGGGUAACGAAUGACCCAGUAUUUUACAAUGCCUGCAGAAUUUUGGGACAUUCUCAUACUCUAAUUUUUGAGUAAAGCCUUUCAGCGGGAAAAUGUCAUCUUUCAGUUCCCACCCUAACAGAAUCUAUCUUUGAUUUAGUAAGAUCGACUUCAAUUCUCACUUUUGCCAUACUCUGUCUAGUUUUGUGAUUUGUGGCUAAGUCCAUCGAUAAAGGAUUGCCAACGAGAGCAACAAUCUUUUUAACACAGUUCCACAUAUGACAAUGAAAAGGAAGUUUCGGCAACAAUACCCAUAUCAGAACUAUUGGAGAAUCUUUAUUCGGUUUAAAGUUCGGAGUCCACUUCUCCAAACACAUUACCUGACCCUCAAUUUCUAUAGAGCGUUUGUACCACACAAAUUUGAAAUCCUCUACAUCAUUAAAUCUAGAAAUAUAAUACGAUAAUCGUAGACUCCUAUUUUAAUGUUACCUUUUAAAGAAAUUUUGUCUGCAAACUUCGAUUGAAUUUUCUCUAUUUGUGGUCGAGCUCUCAUGAACUUUCCUACCAAGGUUAGUUUGCAUCUGCCAUCCCUCCAUAACAGUCAUUGCAAUGUGAGUGGUGUAACGAGCUUUUACCUCUGGAUUUCCCAGUCGAUUGGGAUUAGGGCUCGUAUUCGUUGUGGGUCAAACUACAUUUAUAUAAUUGGGUUUUGGAAAUUUUGUUUUGUAGAUGAAGUCACAACAUCUGGGAGAGGUGAGAAUUCCACAGGACGCACUUGUUCGAUAGUCUCCGG
Molecule: long non-coding RNA, 2536 nt
Filed under: Capsicum annuum
Lineage: Eukaryota; Viridiplantae; Streptophyta; Magnoliopsida; Solanales; Solanaceae
Description: long non-coding RNA (CANN_LNC019574)
Source: RNAcentral